Molecule: small RNA, 103 nt
Filed under: Saimiri boliviensis boliviensis (Bolivian squirrel monkey)
Lineage: Eukaryota; Metazoa; Chordata; Mammalia; Primates; Cebidae
Description: 7SK RNA (ENSSBOG00000007989.1)
Rfam family: 7SK RNA
About the family: 7SK was discovered as an abundant small nuclear RNA in the mid-70s but a possible function has only recently been suggested. Two independent studies have found that 7SK RNA binds the CDK9/cyclin T complex (known as elongation factor P-TEFb).
Source: Rfam by way of RNAcentral
GAUGUGAGGGCGAUCUGGCUGCGACGUCUGUCACCCCGUUGAUCGCCAGGGUUGAUUAGGCUGAUCUGGCUGACUAGGCAGGUGCCUGUGUUCCCAGCUACUC